Molecule: long non-coding RNA, 3114 nt
Filed under: Olea europaea (common olive)
Lineage: Eukaryota; Viridiplantae; Streptophyta; Magnoliopsida; Lamiales; Oleaceae
Description: long non-coding RNA (OEUR_LNC002683)
Source: RNAcentral
ACUAGUUUUCUAUUAUAAUUUUACCCUUUGCUAACUAACUAUGGAAUACUCUAGUGAAUGAAUAACAAACUUGUAUUGGAAUAUUAUUAGAGGUGGAGGUUUAUCAUUACCCGCCGCCCCAAAAACCACCCUGUCCUUAAGUUGGAAGUCUGGGAAAAUUACCAAUUUCAGAUAACAAUAUAGCCGAACAAUUUCCUACGCAAUACUUGAGAAGCAUUUUGUUCUUCAGUUUUGCUUGAUAUGAGGCAUCCUUGUUGAAUUUACUUCCUUUCACCCACUCGAGCACUUUUUGUAUGAGAAGGAACAUGUCUAGUCCGAAUAUAUUUCUCAAUCGGGCGAUAGUCCUCACUAUCAUGUGGGAGAGGUGAAACAUGGCAAAUUUGCUUCUUGUACUUCUCAUCGAUUGAUUCGUCAUUAUCAAUGUCAAUACCAACUACUCAUGAAGCUAUUUCAAUGUCCUCAGGUUCUUCUAGCAUUUGCACCUUCAAAAAGUCUUCCCCAUCUUUAAUCACUUGCAGAUAGAUAGAAGGUAUAACUGUGAAAAAUCUGUUGUUUAGCAUCAACAAGACUCUCUUUGACAGAUGGAGCAUGAGUUGUGCUAUUUAGCCAAUUAUGUAUUUGUGUUAAAGCCUCAAAACUUAAUCGACCACCUACAAUUAGAAUGGUAUACAUGAAAAUCCCAUAACCAGUUGCGCCCGUGCACAAAAUUUGGAAGUUGUGAGCCCUUCUAUUCGAAUUUAUUUUGUGUUUAACCCCAUGCUUGAUUAUCACCACAAACUCCUGUUGCGUUAUUUUCCCUUCUAUUCCAUGGUCAUCGGUGCAAUCAAGCUUGCUACCGUAUUUGGAAAAGGAUCCACAAAUUCUCCCAUCCCAUCACUUCUUGGCUUGCCUCCCUAACCUUCAUCGACAUCUAAAUCGCAGCCAACAGUUUCUUUAUUGAUGAUUAAAACCUGCAACUCCUUGUGCUUACUUUGAUGCCAAAUAGAGUAGUUUUCUUUGCCCCCUAAAAACAGGCCCAACUCGUACUUCAAUUGAAGAUCCACAUCAAUUCGCCUUUUGUAAGAAAUUGGGGAUCUAUAGGGUACAAUUUAUUGUGGAGCAGAAUUAGUGAUUUGAGAAAUUGAUUUCUUAAUUUGAAGAGGAAGGUGGAUGGCGUAAUUAGAAUAUCUUGGGCUUUUAUUCCAAUUUAGGCCAAACCCUACCUGGGCUUGAUUCAUCCACUCAUUUCUUUCUUCAAGAUGUUGGGCCAUGUCCUUAAUAUGGUCCAAGCCCACUGGUUUCAGCAAUUGGUCUUUAGCCCUAUUUUCCUAAUUCAGUUUGUUGAUAACGUUGGCUUGUUUUGAUCCAUCCCCAAUACAAUCUCUCAACGGCAAUGGAAGAUUCGAAAAUCGGCGAUCAUGCUUCUUCUCCUCCUUCGGCGAUGGAGAUGGGGAUACUUGCAAUCUCUCAAGAGACGUUGAUAAAGGGGCGACCCAGCUGCCGGCAUCACAGGGGUUAUCAGAGGCUAUAGUAGCUCCAAUUUCCUUAGAUUUGGGUGGAGUUUCAUAAUAUAGAGCCUCUCCUUCGACACAAACUGCAACGACCUUGAUCUUCCUCCAAUUCGAAAACUGGUUUAAGUUAAAUUUCCUCUGUACUUGAGAAAACCAGCUGUCGGGACUGACACCAUUGGAAAUAGGUAUAUCCUGCCAUUUGCCUCUUCCCUCCACCCUCCAUGAUUCAUUACGACAAUUAUCAUCUCUGUUGUCAUCAGAUUUGUUUGGGAUUUCAGAAUUGGAAGUGUGGUCAUUGCUGCCUUCUUCCACCGGUUGGGUCAAUUCCAAAUCCAAGCCCAUAGAUUCUUUUAUCUGAAAUUCAACCAUCAAUUAAAGCCCAUUCUCUUCCCCUUUCUUUUCCAUGGUAUUCUCCUCUAGCAAUAGUCAUUGUUCAUACACUUCCGUCGAAGAAGCUAGGGCUUCCAACAUCUCUCCAGUCCUCACGUCCCACUGUUUGCUCGCCAGAGUUUCAUGAACCAUGGAGAUCUCCUUCGUGCGAUGGAAUUUCUUCUCCAUCGAUGAUGGCGAUGCAGACACGUGUAAUUUAUGGCUUUGUUCUUCCCGUGCUGUCUCCCAGCUCAAGUCAUCCCCCUGCUUCCCGUCUAAGUACUUACGAUCGGAGGUCUGCUUCAUGUGGAAUCGAUCCAACAUCAAUGCCUUCAAUUCUUCCCAAGUAUGUAUCUCUUGAAACCAUGCUCAAGCCUCUCCAAGGAAGCAAGUGACCGCGGCUUCUACCUUCUCCCUCUCCGGUAAGCCACGAUUCAUAUUUAGGCAUCGCUUCGCCUCAAACAGCCACGAUUCUAAAUUAUCCCCAUAUAAUAUCGAUGUGUUGAGUUGGCCGCAUGAAUCCAACCUCGAUCAACGGCUCAAUCUCCUUUCUGUUGCAUUACCAUCUUCUCCAACGUACUCCUUAUCAAGUUCAAACUAUCAUUUAAUUCUCUGCUGAGAAUCGUUUCCAUUAGUCCGAGAAUCGAUUGCUUUGAUAGCAAAUUGAUAAGAACUUGAUUUGAAGAGGUUGAAUUGCUUACUGAAAGAAUGAAUAUUGUGUAUUAAACUGCUAUUUUAUUGCAUUAAACGUGAAAAUAGACACAGAACAAUUCCAAGGCUUUCGAGAGGCCUGGUCUCUCCCCAAAUUUUCCCAAUAUUUCCCGAAUGCCUAUCCCAGCUCCCUGCAUUACAUUUAUAGAGAAUUUACUAGUUUUCUAUUACAAUUUUACCCUUUGCUAACUAACUAUAGAAUACUCUAGAAUAGUGAAUGAAUAACAAACUUGUAUUGGAAUAUUAUUAGAGGUGGAGGUCUAUCAGUGUCAGGCCAAGAAGUUCUUUACAUUUGUCAUUCCCUAAUCCAUCAGCUACAGUACGUCUAUGUGCCAAUAUUAUAUACACUUAUAAGCAGAUGUGUGGCAUAGGGUUCUAUCUUGAGAAUGUACAGAUUGAUUAUCCUUUUCAAAGACUGGCUGGAUACGUUAACACGUACUGCACUAUAGAAGGGAAAAAAUGAAAUUUUACAUAACAUUAUUGGAGUAUCCAGUUUGACUCUGAGCUUUGUCAUUUUACUUCAAACUUGUGAAGAGUAUGUAGC